RNAcentral lists this long non-coding RNA (10262 nucleotides) under Triticum aestivum (bread wheat). RNAcentral's name for it is "long non-coding RNA (TAES_LNC005167)". Lineage: Eukaryota; Viridiplantae; Streptophyta; Magnoliopsida; Poales; Poaceae. The record is from RNAcentral.
CUCAGUCGUGUUGCUUUGUUCUAGAUCAGGGUAUCUGUUUUACAACUGAUCUCGAUCUAGUUGUUUUCUUUGUUUUGCUAAUCCUUCCUCUGAUCGAUUUUGCCUUAUUGCUUUGUUCUCGAUCGGAAGAACUCGCUACCAGUAAAGCACCUUUGUGGCCCACCCAAGAAGCAGAUCUAGGCGGGGAUGGCGAUGGCGUGCUGAGGGUUGAAUCCAGCUCCCAGUUAGUUUCCCAUCUCCUCUAUUUUACUACUCAAGUCUCUAGACUAGAUCUCAACCUAGUUGUUCUCUCUUUUUUUGGCUACUCCUUCCUCUAAUCUGACUCAGUCUUGGUGCUUUGUUCUAGAUCAAGGUAUCGGCUAUUCUUCCUCUAAUCGACUCGGGUCUUAUUGCUUUGAUCUAGAUCAAGGUAUCUAUUUUACUACUCUAGAUCUCGAUCUAGCUGUUACCUUUUAUUUGCUACUCCUUCCUCUAAUCGACUCGGUCUUGUUGCUUUGUUCUAGAUCAAGGUAUCGGCUAUUACUCCUCUAAUUGACUCGGUCUUAUUGCUAUGUUCUAGAUAAAGGUAUCUGUUUACUACUCUAGAUCUCGAUCUAGUUGUUCUCUUUGAUUUGCUAAUCCUUUCUCUAAUUGAUUUGGUCUUAUUGCUUUAUCCAGAUCAGAAGAACUCGCUACCGGUAAAGCACCUUUGUGGCCCACCCAAGAAUCAGAUCUAGGAUGGCGUGCUGUGAUGGCUGAAUCCACCUCCCGGUUAGUUUCCCAUCUCCUUUCUCUGUUUUACUAUAGAUCUGAUCUAGCUAUUCUCUGCUACUCCCUCCGUAAAUAAAUAUAAGAGCAUUUAGAUCACUACUUUAGUGAUCUAAACACUCUUAUAAUUCUUUACAGAGGGAGUACUAUUCUACUCGUCACCUCCUCCUGCUGCUACCUAGGAUAGAAGAGGAAGAAUAACCAAUACCUUGAUCUAGAACAAAGCAACAAGAUCGAGUCGAUUAGAGGAAUGUUUAGGAAGGAGUAGCAAAAUAAAGAGAACAGCUAGAUGAAGAUCUAGAAUAGUAAACUAGGUACCAAUAAGACCGCGUUGAUUAGACGAAGAAUAACAAAUACCUUGAUCUAGGAGAAAGAAACAAGACCGAGUUGAUUGGAGGAGGGUAGAGGCAGUUCCUCAGUCUGCUCUGCCUCCGUCACCAUCAUGGGGAGGAUGAUCAAUUGGGUGUGCUUAUCAGGACUUCAGGCAGAUAACAAGGAGCAAUCAAGAAAGAGUGGGUGUGUCUGGUGUUCCUAAGGUGCUAAGUGCCAUUGUCCCAAGCUCUUCUGAGCUUGGCAUACAACAACCAGAGCUCGUGAUUAGAACUUUUGCUUUUAACUCUUGUAAAGUUCAAAUCUUAGAUUCCAAAGUUGAUUUUCAAGGAAGGUGGAACUUUUGGAUUUGAAGUCUUGGCACAUUUUGUAGGUGAGCUGGAAUUGGUCCUACUAGCCAGAUGGCAACUAAGGCUUCCGAUAAAGAACGUGCUCCUCCUUGCUAGAUCCCCCACCUUUGUCAUGUCUGUCCUUCUCCACCACCAGAUCCAUCGAGGUCCGGGCAACAUUAAGCACCUCCUCCUUGGAUCAGAUAAUUCAAGUCAUCGUCAUCACUCGCUCUGGUAGCGAAAGAGUUGGGAGUGGCAGGCGCCAUGGAUGGAGGCUCUGGUGCUAUUGGCCUAGACAGGUAUGCCAUUUCCACUCUUUUUUCUUGCUUGCAUCCUCUUCCUUUCUUCAUUGUGUGAGGUUAUCACCAGACUAGCACCUAAACAGUAGAUGGAAGUAUAUUUCCUACACGAACAGCCUCGAGAUUACGUGAUAAGUUCUGAUGGCAUGAAAAAAGCUGUUUUUAAGGCAAAUACGGUUGCUAAUAAUAAGUCAACAACCAGCCCCAAGAUAAACUUGGCUACAAUGUUGGAUCAUCAUACCUACAAUGCAGCAAUACAUUUCAGUUUCAUUUACGCGUGAGACUAUUCUAUAAUAGUAAAACCCUACACGUGACUGUGCCACACGAGGGGGCGCGCGGGGGGGGGAGGAGUUGUUCCCUUACACUGAUACAGAUGAACCGGCUGGAGCACCACACAGUCCUGCCAGGAAUAUCCCAAUGCCCUGCACGUAGACACUUUAAUAGCAGCCCAGAAGAAUCCGCACAAGAGUCAAAGAAAGUAUGGCACAAUCAAUCAUCACAUCACAUAGGAAGUAUUUGAAACUAUUUGUGCUCUAGCAUAUACAUCCAGUUAAAGCAUUUGUAAGGAGAAGGAAAGCAUUCAAAUUCUAGUAUUCAUGGAUAACCAUAUUUCACUAGCCCUUAUAAGACAACUUCUGAAAUGACAGUCACCUGUAAACCAAUACUUCGAGUAAGAACAUGAGCUGGGGGUGGUGUUGCACCGGCUAGACGUGCAGUUGCAAAGUGUGCACCGGUUGACUACACAAGAUAGCACAAUUAGGUUCCAGCAGAAAGAAUGCACGAAAGAAGAUAGAACAAAGGGAAAUCCAAUUAGUCUUAACCUCAAAAGAUGAAACAAGCACAGCACCCAUCAUUCCAAAUGAAUGACCUGCAGUGAAGAUUGGUGGACCCCAAUGGAAGGGGUAUGAAAUUUUGAUCCUGAAAGUGCAGGCAUGCAAAGAGUGGAUUAAAAAUGGCUGCUUCAAACAUUUGCGAUUCGUAAAGUUAGUUCAUAAGAAAUAUCCUCAAGAACCAUACCAUGGUGCAGAUGAUAUAAGGAAAGACUUGUCAGUGCGGCAGUGCUGUUGUGUCUUGAGCGAAACAUGGUUGUAUGCACCAGCAGCAGUAAGGAUAGCUGCAAAGGCCCACACGAUGCCGAUACAAAGAAGCAACGAAUACCUCUCAAACAAGAAGGUUGUGCGCUCAUGGAUAUGUCUGAAGUAAAGUGGCGCAUACUGCAUAGAGCAAAUUGAACAGUUGGUUCCUAGCCAGCUUCACAAAUCAUAGCAUAACUAAAAUGGAAAUUAAUCGAUAUUUCGAUCAGAAAAUACAAAAAGGAGAUUUAAGUUGUUACCUGUUGCACAACAAUCGCAAGAAUUAGCAUUGGCAACCCAAUCUCAACACAUUUUCCAACCUACCAUGGAGAAUAAACAUUAUAUGUUUCCAUUCUUUCUUUCUCAAUGUUAAGUCCUCUGCUAAAAUAUAGAAAUCAUACCUGAGGAAAGCCAAUUUGAAAUAGUCCAAGACCAACGACACAAACAACAGGAGUCAUUAUUACAGGACUGAAUUUCCUGCGAAAUAAAAUUACAUGAAUAUUAAUAGCUUCAAAAGAAAAUAAUACUAUAUUAAGUCUAAGAACUAGUACUACAGGAUGCAUACUUGGCAAAUGCCCCCCAUGCUCUGCUGUAUCCAAGAAUCAUGUUGAGGAUUGAAGCAACAAUUAGAGCCCCUUGAGUUGCUCUCAUUGUGUGAACGAAUCUCUGCAGAUGCCUCAAUAGUUAGAAGUGUAAAUAUUACCAUGUGAAAGAUAAUUUAUCAAUGAAUCCUCGAAAGAACUAUCAUUCCAAAUAACAUUUGCCAAAACGCAACAAGGAGCAUGGUUAAACAUUACAGAUAAAAGAGUGUUAUGACUGAGCAAAUUAGCACCACUCUACCUCAUGAUUACUUUCAAAGUCGUUUGUGUUAAACUGUCUGGCUAUUGACAGCACUGGGACAACAAAUGCGAAGGAGGCAUUCAUAACUGUUGGAAGCCGUGUCCCAACGAGUGUUUGGAGCAGAGUAUUAAUGCCACUCACAAACAGGAAUGCUUGAAUAACACGAGCCUUCUCACCCUAUCAAUAAGAACAACAAAAGCAGCAGGGAAUCAACACUAAAUCUUCAAAAGGAAAUUACAUUGAUGCAGAACAAAAUGCUAUGAAUAGCAAAGCAAAUUGAUAUACUCACAGGACCACCACCCAUUGCAGGAACAAUAAUUGACACAAGCAUGACAGUAGAGCCCAACAUCACUAGGUAGUGGAGGAAUGCAAGCCCUGCUACCUGAACUGUAGAUGAUGGUACAAUAGAACAGGGUAAGUGCAAGUUUUACAUAUAUCCUAAUCAUAUCCAAACAAGGAAACCAAUUCCAGGCUUCCAGCAGUACUGUUCAUACCUAAAUAUAUGCAAAGGAGAAGUAUAAAAGACUACAGGAGAUAUGCAGACAAAGACUUUUCUUAAAGAUUAGGCAUCAAUAGACUUUUCUUUUCUAUACUUCAAAGUGGCAGAUCACAACAAUUCCUCUUUUUGUUCCAUGAAAAAAACAUUGCCUCUUAUAGCAGCACCUGAUAGAAGUGUUGCUAGCUGUCUAAAUGAACAUCCCAGAUUCAGAUCAAGAAUAGUAGGUACAGCCCUUUACAGAUCAACAAAGUAUGCAAUAACAAAGGCUAUAAUUCUACAUGAACAGGAGAUUCAAGAAAAUCAAUACAUCAGUGAAGUCGAUUAUAUGUGGGGACUUUACAAAACAGAGCAUUAUUGAACGCAACCAAACCGAAAUCUGAGAUAGGCCUUGAACAAAAGAAUGACCAAGAACCAUCUGCAAACCAAAAUUAAAGAUGCCUAAAUCUGUAGAUAGUAGUACUAGAGAUCAGACUGCUACUUCGUCCUGUAUGCACACAAUCGAACUGUACAUGCGGAAGCAAAAGAAAGUAAAAGCGGGCAGAGGAGUUAAGAGGGGAGCCAGGAUUGGAUUUCCGUACCCCAGGAAGGAUUGGAGUGGACGCAGUAGUUGAGUUGGUUGAACUGCUCGUAGGGCUGGUGCAUGGCGCCGGCGCCAACCGGAGCGUUCAUCAUGGGCUGCAUCCCCAUGGGCGGUGGCACGCCCACCGGCGGCGGCACCCCGGGCUGGUGGUUCAUCUCGCCCAUUGGAUCAACACCAACUCAAGCAAGAACACUCUCUCGCCUUGGACCAGACCAGAAACUGCUGCACAGGAAGGAGAAAACAAUCAGGAGACGCUCUUGGGUCUUCACACCUUUGUCCCCCUUUUAUGCGCGCAGUCGGGGGGCUUCGCAUUGAUUGCACAAAAUUUUUAGCAGUGCAUAAAACGAAAUUUGGGGCAUUUAAUCAGUAGAGUAAACCAGCGCCAAGAAAUGGCUGGUGGGAGUAACUACACUCCAAAGAUUGCAGCUCUCGCCUCUCACAAGGGGAUGAAAAAACGGCCACUUUGCCAGCAGAGAAGAGAACACAGACACUCCAGCCUUGCUGCUGCUGCUUGUAUCUUACCCUAGCUCACAAGAAUUGACCACGACUCCUUGGCCAUGGGCGACUCACUCACAAGCAAAGAUGCAAAUCUUGAGAGGGAAAAAAGACCAAGACCUGUGUAGUAGUACUAGUAUUAUCCUACGGUUGGGAGGAAAGUGACAGGCAGAGAGAAAGAGAAACAUCAACAAGAUAUGGCCGAUGAGAGCCUCACUUGGGUGAUUCCUGCAAGUUUGUCCCAAGAAGAAUCUCCAAAGAAAACGCAGCGAAAAGGUUGCGAGAAUUAGAAAAGGCAAAAAAGGCCUCACAUCAGCACAUUAAAAUAAGGGGCAGAAGCGAAUCAAACCAAAUUAAUACUCUGCACACGAAAAGCAGCAGGGGGGGAAGAAAGAACUCACUCACCGAAUUCAGAGGCUGGAUUCUCUCCCAACCCACCUCCCGGAAAGAAAGUAAGAAAGCGCCGGAAAAUCUCCCCGGGGAGCGCAGAGAAAGGCCAAAAAUUAUGAGCUCCAAAAGCCUCCAGCCUUUAUUAUUUCUUUUCCGUUUCUUCUCCUCCUUAUCUCCUUUCUAUGGCCGCCCUCCCGAGAGCAGCGCCAGCGGCAGCAGCGGCAACAGGACAAACGCGGGAUUUUGUAAUCUUGCGGGCAGCAGCAGCAGAGGAAAAGGGAUCGCGAGCUCGAAGGCCUCGCCUUCACUGCUGGUCUCGCUUCGCGAGCACCCCGCUAAUCGCACUGGCGGUAAUCAGCGGAGGCGAGAGGGCGGAGAAGCUCGCUCGCGCGCCGCUAAUGGAGGAGGCCGAACAGUGGUGGCUGAUGGGGCUUGGAGCCUUUGGCUGGAUCUAGGUAGCUGGGGCGCAUUAGAAAAAUGCUUGUUUUUCGAAAGUUGUAUUGAAUGCAACAGAUUCCGAGGAUGGGGAGGGGGGUGGUGCCGCAGCAUUAAAAUUGGAUUGACGCGGGCGAGAGGUUCUUCUGCGCCGCUCGCUCGCUCGCUGCUUCCCCGAGUGGUGCUAGCGACUGUAGGUCCCAUCACAUUUGGCGGAUGGGACAGCGAUCUUCUACCAGGAUUUUUCAUCAGUCCGGAUUUCUACCGUGUUGCUGCGUUCCUGGAUAGCCCACCUGCGAAAAUCAGAUUGCGCUACAGGGCGCCUCCUCCCGGGACUCUUCGUGUAGUCCGAUCUGCCCGGACGGCGCGCACCCGAAUAGAUGACCUCAUGGGUCCAUGACAAGUGGACCGCGGGUGCCGCGCGGCCUGGGGUCACCGCAUGUGAUGGUUUCGGUUACGCGCGCAUGCGCCCUCUCAUGGGAAAAAAAAAUUAUGAUGUCAUAAACAUCAGCUUCUUAUUAGACCUUUCAUAUCCAUCUGAAAACAAAUAUACAUUGAAUUAUUACUAGGGCGUACAAUUCUACGACGAUUUUGUCAUUUUUUCAUGUACUGAAAGCAAGAGUGUCACACUCGAUGACAUUGGUAGAGAAGACCAACAAUAAGGAGCUCUUGACAAAACAGCGUCAGAAAUUUCAGGUACAGAACACGGCUUCAGAUGUUGCGCGGUUUAGUUUCACUACUCAAGGUGGGCGCAAAAAAUUUGGGACAUAAUAUAAAAUAUGUCCAUGGUCCUUAGAGUGGUGAAAUUAAACUGAGCACCAUCUGAACUCUUGUUCUCUAGCUGAAGCUUCUGAUGUUGUUUCGCCAGGAGCUCCUCGUUGUUGGUUUUGACUACUAGUGUCAUCGAGUCUAGCACUCUGAUGUUUAGUACAAAAAAAGUGACAAAAUCGGUGUUAGAUUUUAUGCCUCAAUCAUAAUCCAACGUAUAUUGUUUUCAUAUGGAUGUCAAAAUAUCUCAUAAGAUCCUGGUGUUCACGACGUCACGAAUUCUUUUUCCUGUGCUCCUUCUCAAUCUUCUACCAGGAUUUCGGUAGGAAUUUCAACGGUAUUGCUGCAUUCCUGGUACUACUACUAGAAAACAAUACAAAUAACUUGACUAGUACACUAGUUAUGGUUGGAUGAAUCUUACACAAUGUCUACCGAGCAGGAUUUUUUUUAUUUGUUGUUUUUACUAACAAGGCAUUUCUAGUUGAAAGGAAAAAAGCCAUGUUUGAAAGACAAAAAAAGUUCAUAAUCUUGUAGAUGUUGAACUGUUUCAUCUGAAAUUCCUGUAAAUAUCAAUAGCAGUUUCAUGUUCAUUUGAAAAGCCUAUACGACUAUAUGAGACACAACAAUUUUGAAGGUUUUCAAAUGCUCGAAAUACGAAAUAUUGCCAUAUUAGAAUAUGAACUAGGCCUUGCUAGCUACUCGUUGGCUUGGUGGGGCUUCCAAUUUUUUCCAAUGUUCAACAAAUCAAAUUCUUUUGUCAAAACAUUAUGCAUUAUUCAUUGCUUCAUAGAAAUCGAUAACCAAAACACUACCAUGUUGUUUUAAAUCUGUAGAAAACAGAUAACUUGACCACCAGUUAUGACAAGAUGAUGCUAGUAGAAAGCAUGGGGCCAAUUCACAUGUGUUUUUAUGCAUAAUAUGAUCCUAGAUGAGCUAGGAAAUGAUUAAAAAAUCCUAUAGUUUCCAUGCAUAAUAUGGUGUUACUUUGAAUCUUACAGGUGUUUCACAGGAAACAGUUCAAUGUCUAACGAACUGAAAGUUUUUUUUUCCUGACCAUGGCAUUUCUAGUCAAUAGGAAUACGCUAUGUGUUGGAAGACAAACUUCUUUCCAGCAUCUAGUAGAUGUUGAACUGUUUCCUCUGACAUUCCUGUAAAUUUCAUGAGUAGUUUUGUAUUCCUUUGAAAAACCUAUACGAGACUUCGUAGUUUUCAAAGGAUCAAAAUAUGAAAUGCUACCAUAUUAUGAACUAGGUCAUGCUACUUACCUAUCGGUUGUGUGGGGCUUCCAUUUUUUAAUGAUUAGUGAAUCAAAAUAUUUUAUCACAACUGUAUAAUUCAUGCAUUCUUCUUUAUCGAUGACCAAUAUAUGACACAACCAUAGUGGCAUGUGAUACUUGCUAGUCAUUAUGGGCCUCAUUUGAGACCGAGAGUCAUUCUUCAACUUCCAUUACAAAAUAUAGUCAGUCUCUAUAUAACAUUGCACAAGGGAGAAUACAGGUGAUACCUCCAGCUGGAUGCUCUCAUGCUACCAAAUCAAAAAGUUCAAACUUAAAUGAUUCAAAAAAUUCCAAGAAAGUUUGUGAAUAUUUACAACACAUGUAUCUACGAAUGCUAAAAAAUUCAGAUCCUAAUUCAAAGUACACAUAGAGAGGCAAAUUCAACAUGAAUAGUGUCAAUAAAGACAAAAACAUGAAUAGUGUAAAAACUACACUAUUCACAUCUCGAUUUAUCUUUUUGUUUCUCAAUGCGUAUAUCGAACUUGGAUCUGAAUUCUUUAGCGGUCAUAGACACAUGUGUUGUGAACAUUCAUGUUUUUUUAAAAAAAUUGAAUAAAGUUCAAAUUUUCAAAUCCGUAUCAUGGGAGCAUCAAAGUGGUGGCAUCACCUGAUAUUUCCCUCCUGCACAACUCACUCUAAAAGGACCUAAGUGGAACACUGAAGGAGUUUUAGUUUUCAGGAAUAUUCAUAUAAUAUAUGGAUGUACUAGCAAAAAAAUGUGAUGUCUUAAACUAGCAGGAUGACCCUCGCAUUUGCAUGGCUAGAAUUUUUUUUUGUUUUCUGCUACAUUUUUGUUUCCAUGUAUGCAUUAUAUUAUCUUUGAAACAUUGUCCAUUGUUGUCACAAUUUACAGAUUUUCCCAAACACAAGUUUUUUAAGAUAUAGUUUUCCUCGGCAUUGGAAAUGUUUAUAGUUCAAUAAACACCUUGGGGAAAUAUUGUUGGAAUUUGGUGGGAAAAUCAAUUUAUAUGUGUCACACUGAUGCUAAUGAUAUUCAUAUGUGAUAGUUGAACACUAAACGAAUUGUCUUUCCAUGAAUAGUUUUAAUCAAUUUGUUCAAUAAUACUUAAAGCUAAACAUCGGUGACAUGUAUUUAAUUCUUUUGCAAUCUUCAUACAUUUGUAUCAUGAUGAUGAUGAUGAUGAUCUUCCUCAUUAGCACACUCUUUUAUCACGCUUGUCACACAAGUAGAACGAUAUGUGUGCUCUGUUGUGUGAUAAAUGUGAUAAAAGGGUCUAUUGAUGAGGCAGGUGAUCACAUCAUCAUCAUCACGAGAUAGAUUUAUGAAGAGAACAUAAUAUUUAAAUACUUGCCAUCAAUGCUUGGACUUAUAUUGUUGGUACAGCAACAACCAUUCACUAGGGUUGCCUCGAGUAUCGUGAUUGGAGUUGAGUGUCUUGCGGAUAUCGCUGAACACCAAAUGUCAAUUGGGGUGUGUAUGUCGGUCUUUACUCCUACAAAGUAUGUUGGAGUAUCCCGCCUCCUGGGAGCCUUUGCGGGUGACGAAGCCCUCUACGGCGUUCGUUUAGUGCUUGUGUGCCGCAGGCACCUCCCUGGGCUCUUCGUGCCGCCCAAUCUAAUCGGAUGGUGAGCACCCAGACGGAUGGCUUUAGGGGUCCAUGAUGGGUGGACCGCGGGUGCGACCGGCGCCAGCAUCAUGUGCUGGUUUUGGUAGCGCAUGUCGGUGCCCUAUCGCUAGGAAAAAGAAUCUGUGGCAUCGUAAACACCGAAAUUUUAUCAGAUCUUUUGGCAUCCAUCUGAAAACAAUGUACAUUGGAUUAUUACUGGGCCAUAAAACUUGACACCAGUUUUUGUCAGUUUUUUGUACUGAACGCUAGACUGCUAGACUUGAUGAUACUGGUUGUCAAGACCAACAAUGAAGAGUUCGUGGCAAAGCAACACUAGAAGCUUCAACUAGAGAACAAGGCUUCAGAUGGUGCUCAGUUUAAUUUCACUACUCAAGGUGGACGCAAUUUUUUUGGACAAAAUAUAAAAUAUGUAUGAUGAUCUAGAUUUAUUUGAUCUUUUCAAAAUAUUUCAUUGAAAGUACUUCAUUCGGUCGAGUAAGAUGUAUACCCAAUAAGUGUAUCUCAUUUUGUCUCUCAUACAAAGCAUAUGUUUUAUUACUUGUAUUUGAUAUUUGUAUUAUCUAGAACCUUGGAAGAUUCAAACAAACUUAUCAAUAAUUAUGAUGUUAACU